This 442-nucleotide ribosomal RNA is filed under the name uncultured bacterium. RNAcentral describes it as "partial 16S ribosomal RNA". It matches the Rfam family "Bacterial small subunit ribosomal RNA", at positions 338 to 795 of the family's 1533-position model. The record is from RNAcentral.
CCUACGGGUGGCAGCAGUGGGGAAUAUUGGACAAUGGGCGCAAGCCUGACCCAGCAACGCCGCGUGAAGGAAGAAGGCUUUCGGGUUGUAAACUUCUUUUGUCAGGGAAGAGUAGAAGACGGUACCUGACGAAUAAGCCACGGCUACCUACGGGACAGCAGCCGCGGUAAUACGUAGGUGGCAAGCGUUGUCCGGAUUUACUGGGUGUAAAGGGCGUGUAGCCGGGUUGACAAGUCAGAUGUGAAAUCCUGCGGCUUAACCGCAGAACUGCAUUUGAAACUGUUGAUCUUGAGUACUGGAGAGGCAGAUGGAAUUCCUAGUGUAGCGGUGAAAUGCGUAGAUAUUAGGAGGAACACCAGUGGCGAAGGCGGUCUGCUGGACAGAAACUGACGGUGAGGCGCGAAAGCGUGGGGAGCAAACAGGAUUAGAUACCCUUGUAGUC